This is a long non-coding RNA of Rosa chinensis, 352 nucleotides long. RefSeq lists it as uncharacterized. The record is from RefSeq and is a predicted model, not a curated record. Lineage: Eukaryota; Viridiplantae; Streptophyta; Magnoliopsida; Rosales; Rosaceae. The transcript has 3 exons.
CCAGACAUUUCUACUUGAAUUUGGUUGUUGUUGCAGGACGUGCUGAGCCCUCGAGUGAGGAGGAUACAGGCAGACAGCAGGGUUAGCUGCGAGACUCAUCUAUUUCAUAUUGGCCGAGAUCGCGUCCAGGAACUGGAGGCUUUGGAAUUGGCGCUUCCGUUUUGUCCAUAGGUUAUUACUUGACCUACCUUGUUUGAUAUCGGCUUAGCUAUUAGUGUUGCUCUGAUAACCCUUUUAAAUUUGGAGAAUGCUUUUGUUUGAGUUGAUGUUUAUCAUACUGAGGUUGUGAUGGAAUUCGUACCUUCUGAAUGUAACAUAUACGCUUGAAAUGUAAAUAUUGUAAUGUGUGUUU